UCCGCCCACCCCGCGCCGGGAACCCACGCGGGCCACUACAAGCCCUCCCUUUCCUACGUCUGGUCCAGUCGGUCUUCCUCCGGCCCGGGCCCUGGCCCAGCUAGCCGGCCAUGGAGGGUAAUGGCCCCGCUGCUGUCCACUACCAGCCGGCCAGCCCCCCGCGGGACUCCUGCGUCUACAGCAGCUGCUACUGUGAAGAAAAUAUUUGGAAGCUCUGUGAAUACAUCAAAAACCAUGACCAGUAUCCUUUAGAAGAAUGUUAUGCUGUCUUCAUAUCUAAUGAGAGGAAGAUGAUACCUAUCUGGAAACAACAGGCGAGACCUGGAGAUGGACCUGUGAUCUGGGAUUACCAUGUUGUUUUGCUUCAUGUUUCAAGUGGAGGACAGAGCUUUAUUUAUGAUCUCGAUACUGUCUUGCCAUUUCCCUGCCUCUUUGACACUUACGUAGAAGAUGCCUUUAAGUCUGAUGAUGACAUUCACCCACAGUUUAGGAGGAAAUUUAGAGUGAUCCGUGCAGAUUCAUAUUUGAAGAACUUUGCUUCUGACCGAUCUCACAUGAAAGACUCCAGUGGGAAUUGGAGAGAGCCUCCGCCGCCAUAUCCCUGCAUUGAGACUGGAGAUUCCAAAAUGAACCUGAACGAUUUCAUCAGUAUGGAUCCCAAGGUAGGAUGGGGCGCUGUCUACACACUAUCCGAAUUUACACAUUGGUUUGGCAGUAAAAACUGUUGAACUUGGCCUCAAGAUGUGGAACUGUGGAGAAAUUCUAGGACAUGAACAAGCUAUCCUUUCAUCGAGGACAGCAAACAUUAUGAUGAAAUGGUGAUGACUGGAGUGACCUCGGAAGCUACUUAUCAAAGGCAGAAGAGCCACCAUCAGCCUGGAUUCCUGAUAACUGUGGAGCCGAGUUGCAUGCCUGCCUAAAUAGUAUAUUGUGGAACUCUUUCAUAGGAGACAAACUUAUGUAUUUUUUAAGUCACAGAAUUCUUGAUGAAGAAAUGGGAGUGGGCAACUUGCCCAAAGUAGCACAGUUAAUAUGUAAAGGAAUGUGAUUUGAACCUGGGCCUGACUCCAGAAUCACUACACCAUGAAGUGGAGAUUCAGUAACAUUGGAAUAAAUCCAAAGGCAAAAUGAGGGCAUUGCUUCUUGUGCUGGUCUUGGGUCUAAGGAGGGGCAUAUUGCAGAGGUGAGAGCCAAGGGGAAAAGAUGGAGUGGGCUGUCUGUGGCACACGGGAUGUCUUUACUACUGGACAGCCUUGAACCACAAGAUGUGAUGUAGGGCUGAAUCUUGUAGGAAAAAAGCGGUCAGGGUAAGCUCUUCAACAUCGGAUGUGAGAAGACCAGCGUUUUGCAGUGUCCUUUGGCUGUGGUGGGCAGGUUUGGGCUGGCAAAAGGGUCAGUGGAGACCAGCUGGGGGAGACCUGCAUGCAGUGGCAGGGGGUUGGGAGUGAAAUGAGGGAAGGAUGGACUUGGUAGGUUUGGUUUGACGACGUAGUGGAGUUUGUAUUGGCUGAAGGUUACAAAGGAAGCAAGGAGAGAAUAAUAACAUGCGCCAGCAUCCAGAGAUGAGUUGAGGAGGCGUGCCGUCUGACUUCUACAUUCAGGCACAUUUCACACUUCUGUCAGGUACUCUGCUCUGAGCUUUUGGAAUCUUUCUUUCGUGUAUUCCUCCAUACAGUGUUUGCAGGUGGUGUAUGGAUGCUGUCAAUCCCCGCUUUCCAUAGGCAGCACCCUCCUUACUAUUCCCUGCCUAAGUGACCUAACACACUUGGUCCUGGCUUGGGCAGGCGGGAAGCGUGGAGUUAAUACAUCCUGGAGCAGCCUUCAGCCCUGAUGGGUGGGAGUAGGUGGAUAAGUGGCUUAGCUUUCUUGCUCCUUGGAGGGUACAACUCUGGGCUAGACGCUGCACCAUCUCCCAGGGUCCCCAGCAGCCUUGGUCCCCAGCUGCCCACAACAGCCUAUCCUCUUGGCACCUGCUCAGUGACCUGGCUGGCUUCCUUGUUCCUUGACUCACGUCCCCACUCCCUACUGGUGUUUCCUAGGACCACCUAUCAAAUAAACAACUUCUACCUAAUUUCCUGUCUCAAGGCAUGCAUUGGGGAAACUCAACCCAAUGCAGUUUCCAGAUGAUAAUAUCUACACCCCGAGAGGUUACUUCACUUGCUCAAGCUCACGUAUCCAGUAUGUAACAAAUCUAGGACUUUAGCCCAGCUUUCCUUAGCCCCAGCCUGGUGUUGUCUUCUGCUCUACCAUGCUUAGUAUCUGCUAUAAUGACACCCUAGGUCCUUUUACAUGUUGGGCUUUCCUGCAGGAGUCUGGCCUAUUAGACCAUAAACUCAUAAAAAGCAGAACUAUGACCUUGAUAACUUUGUAUAUUCAAGAACAGCAGGAACUGUGUCUUUCACCGAGUAGAUGCUUAAUAAGGAUUUAUUGAAAGGAAAGGAGAUAGAGCAAGAGGAAGUAUGUGAGGGGAAGAGGAGAUAGUUGGGAGCAUGAAAUUGGGGCAGAGGAGAGAGACUCUUGUGCUCCUUCUUGACAUGGGGCACAAGAGUGACUUGCUUUGGAGGAGGCUAUGGCUAGAGUGUCACAGGCAAAAGCCCAGGAGGCCCACGGGUGAGCAGAAAAUUACAGAACUUAAAAAAUCAUUUUUCUUGGAAAUAAUAUGUGAGACAGGGAAAUCUAGUGAAAAAAUAUUUUUCAGUGCAUGUAUCCCUAAAAGGGAGGUUUUCUUUUUAAAAUUUUUUUUUAAGACAGUCUCGCUGUGUCACCCAGGCUGGAGUGCAGUGGCGUGAUCUCAGCUCACUACAACCUCCUCCUCCCAGGUUCAAGCGAUUCUCAUGCCUUAGCCUCCCGAGUAGCUGGGACUACAGGUGCAUGCCACCACGCCUGGCUAAUUUUUUUGUAUUUUUAGUAUAGAAAGGGUUUCAUCAUGCUCUCCAGGUUGGUCUUGAACUCCUGACCUCUUGAGAUCUGCCUGCCUCAGCUUCCCAAAGUGUUGGGAUUACAGGCAUGAGCCACCGUGCUGGGCCUGUGUUUUGUUUUUAAUAUGAGAUUAGUUAUUAUAACUUUGUAGAAAGAACAUUGGAUGGAUUUUCUGAGCAGAGUUAAGUCUACAGCUCAGAUACUCUAGGGCAGUAGUUUUUGAACUACACAAGGCACUAGGACUUCUAAGGCACUCUCUUAGAAGCCUCCUCAAAAAGAAGGAGAUGAUAAUAAUUGAUUACUACUUAUUGAAUUCUAAUUAGACCAUGUGCCAAGCCCCAUGCUAAGUCUUGGUCUGCGUUAUCUCAUUUAAUCCUCUUUGAUAUGAGUCCUGUUAUCAUUCCCACUUCACAGAUUACGAAGCGGACACUCAAAGAGGUCCCCCAGCUAGUAAGUGGCCAAAGUGGGAUUCAUUUGACUGUUUGACUCCAGAGCUCAUGCAUUCAUGGGCAUGGCUACAGGUACCCUUCUCUUCACUCCUUCCCCAAGCAUGCCCCCAAUUCACCAGAAUUGAAACUCAAGAUUUUGACACCAUAGAGAGCAAACUGGGGAACAGGAACUACACUGUUGGUUAGGACUUGGGAGAAGAUAAAUUAAAAAGUCUGACACUUUGAUCACGUUCUGUAAAAGUCUUGGGGCUUUGCUUUCCCACUGUGAAGGGCAUUUUGAAAUACAUCUUAAUGAAUGCAUUCUGCUCUCUUGGUACACCAGGGGGAGCAUUUAGUACAGGAAUGGGAAUAAGGUGGCUCCAGGAAGUGACUAUUCCUGCUCUUUGUAGGGAAGGACACUUUUUCUUUCUCUCUUUCUCACUCACUGAAAAACACAUUUUUCUUUUUGAACAGUUUGAAAGCAAGUUGCAGAUAUCAUGAGACUUCACCUAUAAAUACUUCAGAAGGAUUUCCUAAGAAAGACAUUCUUCUCCUUUAUGAUGAUAUUAUUAUCACGUCCAAGAAACUUAACAUUGAUGCAACAAUGAUGUCUAAUAUGUGGUCUGUAUUCAAACUUCUCCAGAUAUCCCCAAGAUGUUCUUUAUUGCUUUUUUUGGUUUCAAUCCAAAAUAAAUUUUGUAUUCUCAAUAUUAGAUCACAGUUAUUCUUCUGGAAUAUUUUGCUGUGAAAUGCUUAUACUUUUUACUGUCUAUUGAAUAACUCAUAAAGUUGAUUUGCCAUGCUUUAUUAAGUUUCUCUUUGAUUGCUAUUGUUUAUUCCUAUUAUAAGUAUACCAUGAUGUUAAGUGGGACUUCCCAUUUCUCAGUUUUGACUCAGGCACCAAUUAAAUAGAUAUCAGAAUCCAAAGUGAGUGUGAGAUUGACGUGGUGUACAGAAUUCAUCAAGUGUCACAGGUUAGGCUCCUUGUAAAAGGCUCUUGAUGGACAUUUGUAUGGAGGCAGUUUAUUGGGGGAGUGUUUGGGGCUCAGCAGCUAAGGGGGAAGAAAGGAAGCAGGAUGAGACACAGGGAGGUGUUGGACUGUGAUGCAAUCCCUACUCAGCCAAUCCCCAGGGACCUCUAGAGCUGGGAUGGUGAUAUUUGGUUGUGUCCCCACCCAAAUCUCAUCUUGAAUUGUAGCUGCCAUAAUUCCUACUUGUCGUGGGAGGGACCUGGUGGGAGGUAAUUGAAUCAUGGGGGCAUGUCUUUCCUGUGCUGUUCUCAUGAUAGUGAAUACAUCUCACGAGAUCUGAUGGUUUUAUAAAGGGGAUUCCCCCGCACAUGCUGUCUUGCCUGCCGCCAUGUUAAGACGUGACUGUGCUUUUCCUUCACCUUCCACCAUGAUUGUGAGGCCUCCCUAGCCAUGUGGAACUGUGAAUCCAUUAAACCUCUUUCCUUUAUAAAUU
Molecule: RNA transcript, 4811 nt
Organism: Gorilla gorilla gorilla (western lowland gorilla)
Lineage: Eukaryota; Metazoa; Chordata; Mammalia; Primates; Hominidae
Gene: NTAQ1
Gene name: N-terminal glutamine amidase 1
Exons: 8
Source: RefSeq, a predicted model, not a curated record